GUGCCAGCCGCCGCGGUAAUACCGGCAGCCCGAGUGAUGGCCGAUAUUAUUGGGCCUAAAGCGUCCGUAGCUGGCCGAACAAGUCCGUCGGGAAAUCCACCCGCCCAACGGGUGGGCGUCCGGUAGAAACUGGCCGGCUUGGAACCGGAAGGCUCAGAGAGUACGUCCGGGGUAGGAGUGAAAUCCCGUAAUCCCGGACGGACUACCGAUGGCGAAAGCACGUCGCGAAGACGGAUCCGACAGUGAGGGACGAAAGCUAGGGUCUCGAACCGGAUUAGAAACCCCUGUAGUCC
This 293-nucleotide ribosomal RNA is filed under the name uncultured bacterium. RNAcentral describes it as "partial 16S ribosomal RNA". It matches the Rfam family "Archaeal small subunit ribosomal RNA", at positions 455 to 747 of the family's 1478-position model. The record is from RNAcentral.